This 884-nucleotide ribosomal RNA is filed under the name uncultured archaeon. Its description in RNAcentral is "bacterial SSU rRNA". It matches the Rfam family "Archaeal small subunit ribosomal RNA", at positions 28 to 922 of the family's 1478-position model. The record is from RNAcentral.
GGCUUCCGGGAGGUCUAGCAUGCGAGUCAUUGUAGUAAUACAAGGCAGACGGCUCAGUAACGCGUAGUCAAUCUACCCUAUGGACGGAAAUAACCUCGGGAAACUGAGAAUAAUGUCCGAUAGAACAUUAUGCCUGGAAUGGUUUAUGUUCCAAAUGAUUUAUCGCCAUAGGAUGGGACUGCGGCCUAUCAGUUUGUUGGUGAGGUAAUGGCCCACCAAGACUAUUACAGGUACGGGCUCUGAGAGGAGUAGCCCGGAGAUGGGUACUGAGACACGGACCCAGGCCCUAUGGGGCGCAGCAGGCGAGAAAACUUUGCAAUGUGCGAAAGCACGACAAGGUUAAUCCGAGUGGUUUCUGCUAAAGAAACCUUUUGUUAGUCCUAGAAACACUGAUGAAUAAGGGGUGGGCAAGUUCUGGUGUCAGCCGCCGCGGUAAAACCAGCACCUCAAGUGGUCAGGAUGAUUAUUGGGCCUAAAGCAUCCGUAGCUCGCUUUGUAAGUUUUCGGUUAAAUCCAUGCGCUUAACGUAUGGGCUGCCGGGAAUACUGCAUAGCUAGGGAGUGGGAGAGGUAGACGGUACUCGGUAGGAAGGGGUAAAAUCCUUUGAUCUAUUGAUGACCACCUGUGGCGAAGGCGGUCUACCAGAACACGUCCGACGGUGAGGGAUGAAAGCUGGGGGAGCAAACCGGAUUAGAUACCCGGGCAGUCCCAGCUGUAAACUAUGCAAACUCAGUGAUGCAUUGGCUUGUGGCCAAUGCAGUGCUGCAGGGAAGCCGUUAAGUUUGCCGCCUGGGAAGUACGUACGCAAGUAUGAAACUUAAAGGAAUUGGCGGGGGAGCACCACAAGGGGUGAAGCCUGCGGUUCAAUUGGAGUCAACGCCGGG